Molecule: ribosomal RNA, 484 nt
Filed under: uncultured bacterium
Lineage: Bacteria
Description: partial 16S ribosomal RNA
Rfam family: Bacterial small subunit ribosomal RNA
Source: RNAcentral
AUUGAACGCUGGCGGCAUGCUUUACACAUGCAAGCCGAACGGCAGCGCGGGCUUCGGCCUGGCGGCGAGUGGCGAACGGGUGAGUAAUGCAUCGGAACGUGCCCAGUAGUGGGGGAUAGCCCGGCGAAAGCCGGAUUAAUACCGCAUACGACCUGAGGGUGAAAGCGGGGGACCGAAAGGCCUCGCGCUAUUGGAGCGGGCGAUGUCGGAUUAGCUAGUUGGUGGGGUAAAGGCUUACCAAGGCGACGAUCCGUAGCUGGUCUGAGAGGACGACCAGCCACACUGGGACUGAGACACGGCCCAGACUCCUACGGGAGGCAGCAGUGGGGAAUUUUGGACAAUGGGGGCAACCCUGAUCCAGCCAUGCCGCGUGCGGGAAGAAGGCCUUCGGGUUGUAAACCGCUUUUGUUCGGGAAGAAAUCCUCUGGGCUAAUACCCCGGGGGGAUGACGGUACCGGAAGAAUAAGCACCGGCUAACUACGUG